This 73-nucleotide transfer RNA is filed under the name Actinotignum schaalii. RNAcentral describes it as "tRNA-Gly (GCC) (tRNA-Gly-GCC-1-1)". It matches the Rfam family "tRNA". From Rfam's summary of the family: Transfer RNA (tRNA) molecules are approximately 80 nucleotides in length. Their secondary structure includes four short double-helical elements and three loops (D, anti-codon, and T loops). Lineage: Bacteria; Bacillati; Actinomycetota; Actinomycetes; Actinomycetales; Actinomycetaceae. RNAcentral also lists the same sequence under 13 other names. The record is from RNAcentral.
GCGGAUGUAGCUCAGUUGGUAGAGCGCAACCUUGCCAAGGUUGAGGUCGCGGGUUCGAGCCCCGUCAUCCGCU